Molecule: long non-coding RNA, 5322 nt
Filed under: Sus scrofa (pig)
Lineage: Eukaryota; Metazoa; Chordata; Mammalia; Artiodactyla; Suidae
Description: lncRNA (ENSSSCG00000057420.1)
Source: RNAcentral
CACCCUCCGGGGUUUCAGACAUUACACACCAGCUCUUUAUUUUGUCUAAGCCCGUUCUGCACGUGAGUCCCAAGUAGACAAUCAGACUCUACUAGAUACCUGGGGAGGACUCUGGGGUUAAACCUGCCCAUUUGAGGUAGUCUUCUGUGUCGCUACGUUAGGAGAUUCAUAGCCACCCUCCCCUGGAGGCAGGUGAUGGCUCUGGGUCGAAAGCAUUUACCCUGCUUUCCUAGGAGCUGCUUAUCACUGCUCCUCAUCAGCUCUCAACAUUCUUUCCUAUCUGGGCUCCAGUCAGUCUCUGGCUUCUGGUUCAAGCCAUUUAGAUGCCACAGUCAUUUCUCCCUUGCGUCUUAUUUUAGAAAGUAUUACCUCCUCUUUCUGUUUUUAAUGUCUAAAAGCCCUACAUGAAUUUGACUCAGACUUUGAAUGAUAGAAAAGAUUUCAGCAGUACAGAGGGGCGGAAUUCAGAGGAAUCUACAAAAGGAAAGAUGCAGACAGAGGGAAAAUAUACCAAUUAUUCAAGCAAGAGUGGGCUGUCCUGCACAUUUAAACAUAAUGUACUUAUAGGCAGGGGUACCACGAAAAACGUUUAUCAGGUUGUACACAGCUGCAUGUACUUGACUUAUCAGCUGGGAUGCUAUUUGUAAAACAACUAAUACUGGUAUAUAGUUACAGAAACGUGGCUACUGGAAGCGGAAAGCUAAGUCGGGUGAGACUGGAACGCCUUAAUGGCUUUGUUAACACAUUUGGAAUUUGGGGUUUUUUCAGUAGAAAGCUACUAGAGUUUUUCCAACAGGCUAGUGAGGCAAUUAGAAAGUUUACAAAGGAAGCAGAUUUCAAGUUGCACUGACUAGGAGAUAAGAAUCUACAGGUAGGGAGAGCAGUUACAACGGUAUUGCCACCUAACAGGUGGGGAGAAGUCCAUCAAUAUUGCUAGUGUAAUGAAUAUAAAGAGAAAAGGGAUAGGAAAACUACGGCAGAGGUGACACUGGCAGCAUGUAAUGACUGGUGGUGUGGGAAGCAAGGCUAGGGAAAGAAUGCAGGGUGAUUCCAAGGUUUCAAAUCAGAGUGAUGGGGAGGACGGUGGUGAAGUUGACACGAUGAUUCAAGAUCAGGGACCAAGGCGGACUGGAAGACUCUCAAUGGGUGGCUGUGCCAAAGGUGGGUGAACAGCACGAAUGAGGGGACUUUAGUACCCUUCCACUGUCCUCUCCGUCUGUGCCCCUUAACUCACUCCAAAUAAACAUAUAAUCCAGUAAAAGCAUUAAGUAUGCAGCCUUCCUUUCAUUACAUCACUCCUGCAGUUCCUUUUAUGUGGAGAUUCUGGAGACACUACUAAGGUACCUAAGUGGUGUGAGAGAUGGGAACAGAAGGCUUACAACCAGUCGUGUGCUGGAGCUGACUCAUAGCUGAUCUCUGUAACCAGUAACAUCAUGCAGCUUCACACUGACCAUGGUGGGAAUACUUACACCACAGCAACUGGCCAACUACAAAUCCAGGAGGCAUUAUUUCCCAGAGAUCCAGUUGUUCAAUUUUUAGACCUCUCUUGAGAAACUGGUUAUGAACAUUAAAAAAAAUAGUGAAGAUUUAGGUAAGCUCUUGAAUGUUUAUAAGGCAAAGUUUAAGAAUAUCAGUUGGAAGGUGAAAAGGGGGGAAGCGUAUAAUUUUGAGGUAUGCUUGAUAUACAUGCUAUCAAGGUUCAAGGAAGGUGGGAUGGCAGAAUUUAUUCCCACUUAGAAGAGAUCUCUAAACAUCUCUGCUAGUUAUUGGUUCCUUGAGGGAAAUUUUUUCUUCUGAUUUUUAAGACAAUAUUUAAUACUCUGGUACAAAUUAUGUUUUUCAAGACGACCAUUGUAGGUAGAUCCUGCUGCUUAUCUUUCUUGUGGCAAUGGUCCUGCUGGAUUUCCUCUACAAAUUUGGUUAAUGAUUCAAACUGAGCAGUAAUGACUUUCUUCCCCCAGCAGGCUAGCAUGCUUAAUAUGUAAAGCAGCUAUUAAAAAGAUAGCAAUUGACCUCAAUAGUGAAUCCCUAAACUUCUCUUUCAGGGCCCAUUCCUGGAAGUAGGUCUGUGCUAAAACGUCCAGUCCCUCCCUGUACGACCCCAUCUGCCUGGUCUUUCUCUUCCCUUCUCCAAAAGGCUAGUGUCAUGUGUACUGACUUUUUUUCAUAAUGAAUCAUUUCUAAGACUUAAUCCCGCAGUGGAGACAUUUAUUAAAGAAAUUGUUAACCAGAGCAGGCAGGAUACAAGAGGUGAUUAUGCCUAACUGACAUUUUGGUUGGAUUAAAACAAAGAGCCCAGUUACUUAAAACCAUAUUCUCCCAUCCAGGACAAAACAGUUCAUCAAGCCUACUCAUGUGUUGAAAAAAACUAUAGAUUGAGUAAUAGGUAUUCCCAUUUUACUUUCAAGAAAAUGAUUAGGCACUACCAAAGAGUCCAAUCUCAUUGUUAUGUGCUCUGAUAUAUAAUUGAUGCUCAAACAUGUUUGUGGACAGACAGGAAUAUUUUUUUGCAGCAGUGGGGUUCUGUUGCACUAAGCUUUACAUCAAAUAUUUGAGGAACUAAGGUAAUACAUGUCCCUUUCACUUAAAAUAUUUAGGACUGUCAGCUUAAUUUAGCCAAUCAAUAGCAUGUAAGUCUUGAGUAUUUAUUUAUUAUCUUAGUCAACCUGGGUACCUUUAAUUUUCAUUGGGAGAAAAUAUUAUAGGACACCUGUUGAUUAAUGACCAUUUUAAAAUUACCAAAGCAGAAUACAGAGUGACAUGAAAAAGUAUAAAAGAAGGGAGGAAAGGGAUGUGGUAAAUGUAUUUACCACAAAAAGGAUGGAGGGAAUGGAAGAAAGAUAAAGGGUUUACCUUUAUCUGGCGGUCUUAUUACAGUUUUGAGGGAUGAAGAAGGUGGUUUAACAUUGAUAACCUCUGGGAUCUCUGCAAAAUCUAGUGACUAAGUCAGGCUCCCUGAGAUUUGCUCUGAUGCCAAGAAAACAAAGAUCAGUUACUUAGAAUCAAAUUAACUUGUCAGAGUUGCAGACAAAUGUCAACCUCCCUGGGUUUGGAAAUAUAAAUGUUCGUGUGUCUUAUCUUUCAAACAUUUUCCCCUAAAUAUAUUGCACCAUACUUUGGCAUUUUUACUUUUUUUUUGUUCGCUAUGGCAUCUGCCUAUAAAUCUUAUGCAUGGAGAUACACAUAGGAGAAAUAACAAUAAACAUAUAUUGCUAAGGGCCACGUGAAUGACAGAAAACAAGAUGCAGCCUGAUGCAGACGUUGGAAUGUGGCACAGCAGAGAAGGAUAAGAGUGCAUUGGAAAAGUGGCAUUUGAGGGAGAAGGCAAGCAUUUCAGAGGCUCAAGGAUGGGUAGAGUGGUGCCUGAAAUGGGAGAUGUUGAUGAUACAAAUACAAUACAUUGGACUAAGGAAAGCUGAGUAUCGUUUUGAAUAGCGUACACCCCAUCAUUGAGGUUAGCAAUGUGUUAUGAUGUCAAAACAUCUUAUUGAGCAUGUACUAUGCUCUAGGUUUUCUUCUGUCCUAAAGACUUCAUAAGCAUUAUCUCAUUUAAACUCCACCCCCAUGAGGUAGUGCUCAUUUAACUUACAUUUUAUAGUUAGGUAACAGAAGCUCAGAAAAUUUAAUUAACUUACCCAAAGUCAAUAGUUGGUAAGCUAUACCUCUGAGUUCAGAGCUCAAGUUCUUUCAGCUCAUCAAAGUGCUAGAAUAGGAAUGAAGUGCACAGGACCGGACGGCAGCAUCAAAGACCAAUACAAGAUACACGGGAUAUGGUGGGUGCAUGGAGUAAAGGGGCUGAACAGGUGGGUAAAACUAUAGUCUGGACAAACAGUGAGAAAGGAAGUGGAAAGAGAAAGACAUGGAUGCCCUAUAUCGUUUGAAGGAAGUACUACCAGAACUUGAACUCUAACUGGUUGGAGGGGAUGAUGGAGAAAACAAGGGCCUGGAGACGAGGCCUGUGUGUUGGUGGGAAGGUAGUAAAAAUUAGGUUUUUAAUAUAAGACUAUAGGAAGUGGACGAAAGGGGAAGUCAGCAGAGUCACAAAAUGGCAAUUGCUGGUGUUGGGUACUGAGAUGGGCCACACUCUAUCACACCACACACAACUGCUUAUCCCAUAAGGAAUUUCCUUCCAGAGAUUUUUGGUCAGUUAGACCAUUACGGCAGUCAUGAGCCCUUACUGUCUCAAGAUUUAUAAAAAUAAAAUUUUCUUUUCACAUUCUCAAUUACUCCUUGGGCAUUCAGCUCAAACUUCCACUUCUGAUUUUUGUUUGGUACCUUUCUGAUGGCUUGUUUCUCACGGUUUGAAAACAGCUGUGGUUAAUGGGAUCUUUGCAUCAGUGGAUAUCACUUAGGAUAUUAUAAAUUUUCUCUGUCAGUAUAUUAGCUCUACCAGUGAAUUCCAAGCUUUUGUGACACAAUCCAGUUAAAAAAAAUUACCUUACAACCCAGUAUACACAUUCGUAUCCAACUGUUUAUUUAGUCCAUUAAAAUAAGAUACUACUAAUAGCAAUACUUCUGAUAUUUCUAUUCCAUUUAAAAAUGCUGACUGAAACCCACCAAAUUGGUAUCUCUAGUGACUCAAAGAUUGAAAAACAGAGAGCUCAACUCAGAGCUCCAAAUAGGAGAUAAGCAUGUGUUCGGUUUGGGCUUCUGGCGCUCAGCACAGACUCUAACGUGGAGAGCUUUAGAAAUGUUGAAAGCAAGGAAAAGGGAGGGAUGACAUCUUUUUGGUUGAUGAUUUAUUGUUCUUAAGAAAGAUUUGGUAGGUUCAUUACAUGCCCAGCUCAGUUUACGCCAUCUGUGCAUUUAGUAAAUUUGUUCCCAAAUCCCAGUAAUCCCAACUGCAGCGUUAAUCCAAGAGCCAUGAAAAUUGGGGUUGACGUCUCCUGAAAGUCAUGGACAGGCGCAGGGGCUAUAGAUGUGGCCAGAGGAGCUUCCGCCUCUUUAGCAAGUGCUGUGUCUUGGUGACUUCUCAGUUUUCCAGUAAGGGGCCAGGCAAACUCUGUGUGUGUGUACACAGUGCGUACACCCAUACACGGGGCUGGGGGGAGGAAAGCAACUCACCUAAGGGUAAAGCAGUGUCUUUGUCUGAAAAGAGAGCUCAAACAGAAGACAGGCUUGGCCCUGUGAUUUGAGUAAGAGAACAAAAGCUGAACAUCUAAUUCUGAAGUUUUAUCAGUGAUGUCUCUGUUAUAUUAUUCAAGCUAUUCUAAUCAAUAAGACAAUAGCAUCCCUGCUUUGAGCCAGGGGUCACUAGAUGCUAGAUGAAGUUAGCACAUGCUUUGACCUUAGGUUGCAUUUCUGUAUUUUGGAAUCAGUAGG